ACGGGAGGCAGCAGUGGGGAAUCUUCCGCAAUGGGCGAAAGCCUGACGGAGCAAUGCCGCGUGAGUGAAGAAGGCCUUCGGGUUGUAAAACUCUGUCCUUAUUGAAGAGAGGUAAUAGUGUGAAUAAUGCUAAUAUAGGACGGUAAAUAAGGAGGAAGCCCCGGCUAACUACGUGCCAGCAGCCGCGGUAAUACGUAGGGGGCGAGCGUUGUCCGGAAUCACUGGGCGUAAAGGGCGCGUAGGCGGUUUCAUAAGUCGGUAGUGAAAACUGAGGGCUCAACCUUCAGCCUGCUACCGAUACUGUGAGACUUGAGUAUGGAAGAGGAGUAUGGAAUUCCUAGUGUAGCGGUGAAAUGCGUAGAUAUUAGGAGGAACACCAGUGGCGAAGGCGAUACUCUGGGCCAAAACUGACGCUGAGGCGCGAAAGUGUGGGGAGCAAACAGGAUUAGAUACCCUGGUA
This 460-nucleotide ribosomal RNA is filed under the name uncultured bacterium. Its description in RNAcentral is "partial 16S ribosomal RNA". It matches the Rfam family "Bacterial small subunit ribosomal RNA", at positions 341 to 792 of the family's 1533-position model. RNAcentral also lists the same sequence under 1 other name. The record is from RNAcentral.